GGCCCAUAGCAGCCUGAAUGCACCAGAUCUGGCUUGAACUGGGAAGCUAAGCAGGGUUGGGUGUGGUUUGUACUAAGAUGAGAGACUGCCUGGAAAUCCCAUGUGCCC
This 108-nucleotide ribosomal RNA is filed under the name Carlito syrichta (Philippine tarsier). Lineage: Eukaryota; Metazoa; Chordata; Mammalia; Primates; Tarsiidae. The record is from RNAcentral.